UCAGAGCUGGUUAAUGGCAUAGGAAGCAGUGAGCCCAGUCCUCCCUCAGAGUCAUAUAGCACCUCAGCAGCCAUACCUGACAUUAAUCCAGAGAAUGUGACGACGGUGUCUACUGAUCCAAACAGUAUGGUCAUUACAUGGAAGGAACUGGAGCAACGCCAGUUUAAUGGACCAGGAUUUAAGUACAAGAUCUACUGGCGUCAAGCUUCGACAGAGGUCCACACGGGAAGGAAGGCAGCGUCUCGCAUCCUCCGUUCAUCGUGAACAACACGGGGACCCUUCA
Cyprinus carpio (common carp) is the source of this 283-nucleotide long non-coding RNA. RefSeq lists it as uncharacterized. The record is from RefSeq and is a predicted model, not a curated record. The transcript has 3 exons. Lineage: Eukaryota; Metazoa; Chordata; Actinopteri; Cypriniformes; Cyprinidae.